Molecule: long non-coding RNA, 1331 nt
Organism: Zonotrichia leucophrys gambelii
Lineage: Eukaryota; Metazoa; Chordata; Aves; Passeriformes; Passerellidae
Exons: 7
Source: RefSeq, a predicted model, not a curated record
GUGAGAAGGAAGAGUCAGGGCUUAGAGGAGCUGCUUAGACAAGACAUCAAGGAGAUGAAACGUUGUCUUCCCUCUGAGGAUUGCCAUUUGCAGAGAAUCAUUCUUCUCAGUGCAUUUCUCUUCUAUUUCCUCAAGUACCACACUGACCUGCCAUGUUGGACCUAGACCACAGCCUCACAUCAGAAAGAUAAAUUAAUGGAUUGAAAAGGCUCCUGGAAAGACUCCUGGCUUAGCUCCUAAAUCAUCUGUACAGAAACAAGAGGACUGAAUUCGGGCAGAAAUUGCUGCAAAGAAUAAAUGCUAGACUGAUGUUUUCAAAAGAAUAAAUGCUGUUUUCAACACACAUUUUUGACGUUGUUCCAGUGGCCAUUUCCUCCCCUUCCUCACCAGUUGUGCCAAAGCCGUGUGAGGAGCAGCAGAAGACAGCUCAGCCUGUUUCUUCUCAUCUGAUAGUUCAGAGAAUUGUGACAUGUGACACAAUGGGAUACAGAUUUCAAUACUGUUUGGAUCUGCACCAAGAUCUCUAGGAACCGUGGCAUAUUACUCUGAAUUGGUCAUGGCUGCUUGGAAUUCCUGAGUCUCACAAAGCUAUCCUACCUUAACAGCAAGUACUUCUCUUGUGUAGGCUGUCCCAGGAAGAUGUGAUGCUUUCCACUCAUUGACACCAAGUAAUUCAGGUUUCCCUGGGUCUCACUGAAGGAUUCCCAGGAGCAGACCUACGUGAUUGUGAGUGUGCAGAUACAUGUGUAAGAAACAUUUCUCCCAACAAAGACUGGUUUUUUAUUUGUGACUUAACCAAAGACUCACCAGCAAUGAGCAGAUUUACGUAAAGGCAAACAUUUCCCCCUCCACUCAGAUUUUCCACAUCUACACAGCAGUUAUCUUUUUAGUGAAGAUGUGUUAUUUUCCUCAUGAAGUCUCAAAGCAAGUGCUUUGUAUAAGAAAAGGUAAGGAAAUUUAUACUGCAGACUGCUUGCUGGUUUACUUUUCUUCUUUGUGGGAAAAGGAUGGAAUUGGUGUUACCUAAAGCCAACUUAAUCCAUUAAAACAUUUCCAUCAAGCACAGACUCCAUGCUAAAUAAAUUAUAAGUAAGUAAAACUAGAAAUCAUAAAGAGUUGGGAGUUUUCCUUGUGCACUGAUCUUUGUUCAUGACUUGUAUUUAAUCUCACUGUGAAUGCUCCAAAUAUGAAGAACUGCCUUUCCAAACAGGAAGCAGGACUGGAAACCUCUGCCAUUGGUGAAGGAAAUUUCUAGCAGCUCUGCUUCCUCUUGAAAAUGAAGCAGAAUAAGUGAGGGGGAAAGUGAUGAUAGUCCUUAUCCAGGGGGCAUU